This 469-nucleotide ribosomal RNA is filed under the name Salmonella enterica subsp. enterica serovar Anatum. RNAcentral describes it as "partial 23S ribosomal RNA". It matches the Rfam family "Bacterial large subunit ribosomal RNA", at positions 51 to 559 of the family's 2925-position model. RNAcentral also lists the same sequence under 1 other name. Lineage: Bacteria; Pseudomonadati; Pseudomonadota; Gammaproteobacteria; Enterobacterales; Enterobacteriaceae. The record is from RNAcentral.
GAAGGGCGUGCUAAUCUGCGAUAAGCGCCGGUAAGGUGAUAUGAACCGUUAUAACCGGCGAUACCCGAAUGGGGAAACCCAGUGUGAUUCGUCACACUAUCAUUAACUGAAUCCAUAGGUUAAUGAGGCGAACCGGGGGAACUGAAACAUCUAAGUACCCCGAGGAAAAGAAAUCAACCGAGAUUCCCCCAGUAGCGGCGAGCGAACGGGGAGGAGCCCAGAGCCUGAAUCAGCAUGUGUGUUAGUGGAAGCGUCUGGAAAGGCGCGCGAUACAGGGUGACAGCCCCGUACACAAAAGCGCAUGUGCUGUGAGCUCGAUGAGUAGGGCGGGACACGUGGUAUCCUGUCUGAAUAUGGGGGGACCAUCCUCCAAGGCUAAAUACUCCUGACUGACCGAUAGUGAACCAGUACCGUGAGGGAAAGGCGAAAAGAACCCCGGCGAGGGGAGUGAAAAAGAACCUGAAACCGU